AGGGGUAAUCGAAUAGUGUGGUCUACUUAAUUUAUUCAGGCGGUUGACAAAACUUCACAGAAGCUAUCCCUAGACAACAAGUUCAACAACAGAUUAAUUCACUCCCGUGAUAGAAAUCCUCAAGCAAAGCUAGACACUGACCUAAAUCCCUUUAACGAUCUCUAACUAAGCAGGCAUUAUCGAAUCAACAUGUUAAAGUCAAUACCCUCUCUACAGCCAAUCCCUUGGGGUAGAGUCAGAUAUCUCUGGAAUUAAUAGGAUCCAACGCCCAUUAAACGCCUUCUGAGCGCUGGACGUCUGGACUCAUACUCCACAUUAGCCAGUGAAAUAAGCAAUAAGCGCAACUAAUCCAGAAGGGAUUCUAGAAUUCUAAACUCAACCACCUAAAACGACCAAGUAAACCACAACUAUUUUAUCCCAUCCUCAGAAAUACAGUUCACUACUCAGACAUAAUCAAAGACAAUAACAAAGCAACAAUUGAAAACAUGAUAACAGAAAUGACGAAAGACUUAAACGAAAACUGAAUAUCAAAUACUUGAAAGCGAAACUAGAAAGUCGCAGGAGAAACAGUGCGACUAUCAAAGUUGCGAAAAUGUAAAAGCGAGAUAAAAACGGAUAAUAGCGGAUGCCCUAGGGAAAACCCUAAGGGGCAGUUUAUAUAAGCGAGAAAUGAAACAAAUAAGGAAACUAAAUAUAUAGCGAAUCUUCACGUCAUGAUCCUGCGACCGAAUGUGUCAUUGGCAUUUGACGGGCUGAAAUGAGCUUCCUAGUGAUCGAGUAUGUCAUUGAUCAAAUUGGGCUUUAGGGGCUCCGUCUUGCGAUCGAGUGAGAUGCAGUGAAGUCGAGAUUGAAUGGUCCAGCGACCCUGUGAUCGGGUGGUUUCUUCGGCUUCUCUUCUCUUCUUUGUUCUUAGCUUGUCUGGUUGAGUGCAGAAUGAGCAGAUAGGCUUCCUGGUGAUCGAGUGGUUCCGAUGGGGUGAUUCCUCCGGUUUCGCGAUUGAGUGAAACUGAGCUGCUUGCUUCUCCGGGGUUGCGAUAGAGUGAUUUGCCCUGGCAGGGCUCCGAGGAUGCGAUAGAGUACUUUUGCUGAAGGCGUCAUUGGGCAUUCUGACUUCAUGUUCUGUUUUUCCUCUGUUUGAACUCCAAAAGCAUCCAAAGUACCUGAAAACAAACAAAUAUGCCAUGCACAUGCAAUCCUAAUGCAAAAUCGUCCUAAGUAUGUAAAACACACUAAAACGACUCCUAAUGAGAUGAAAUGUGGAUGAAACAAUGACAAAGUGGUGAAGAAUGAAUGCCUAAAUCAUGCAAAUUAUAGAGAU
Molecule: small RNA, 1318 nt
Filed under: Arabidopsis thaliana (thale cress)
Lineage: Eukaryota; Viridiplantae; Streptophyta; Magnoliopsida; Brassicales; Brassicaceae
Description: ATSL204600
Source: RNAcentral